This 460-nucleotide ribosomal RNA is filed under the name uncultured bacterium. RNAcentral describes it as "partial 16S ribosomal RNA". It matches the Rfam family "Bacterial small subunit ribosomal RNA", at positions 338 to 795 of the family's 1533-position model. The record is from RNAcentral.
CCUACGGGUGGCAGCAGUGAGGAAUAUUGGUCAAUGGGCGAGAGCCUGAACCAGCCAAGUCGCGUGAGGGAAGACGGUCCUAUGGAUGGUAAACCUCUUUAGGCGGGGAGCAAUGCCGGGCACGCGUGCCCGGAGGGAGAGUACCCGCAGAAUAAGCAUCGGCUAACUCCGUGCCAGCAGACGCGGUAAUACGGAGGAUGAGAGCGUUAUCCGGAUUUAUUGGGGUAAAAGGGUGCGUAGGCGGAUUUGUAAGUCAGCGGUAAAAUGUCCGGGCUCAACCCGGGUCGGCCGUUGAAACUGGGGAUCUUGAGUGGGCGAGAAGUAAGCGGAAUGCGAGGUGUAGCGGUGAAAUGCAUAGAUAUCACGCAGAACUCCGAUUGCGAAGGCAGCAUACCGGCUCCCUACUGACGCUGAGGCACGAAAGCGUGGGGAUCGAACAGGAUUAGAUACCCCUGUAGUC